AUGCGGAACCUGCGGAUACGG
RNAcentral lists this microRNA (21 nucleotides) under Sus scrofa (pig). RNAcentral's name for it is "ssc-miR-7134-3p". The record is from miRBase by way of RNAcentral. Lineage: Eukaryota; Metazoa; Chordata; Mammalia; Artiodactyla; Suidae.